GGACGAACGCUGGCGGCGUGGAUUAGGCAUGCAAGUCGCGCGACGGUCUUCGGAUACGGAGCGGCGAACGGGUGAGUAACACGUGAGCAAUCUGUCCUUACGUUCCGGAUAAUUGGCCGAAGGCCUUGUAAUACGGGGGAGGGCCCACUUUGGGCAUCUAGAGUGGAAGGAAGGGGCAACCCGCGCAAGGAGGAGCUCGCGGUCUAUCAGGUAGUUGGUGGGGUAAUGGCCCACCAAGCCGACGACGGAUAGCUGGUCUGAGAGGAUGGUCAGCCACAUUGGAACUGAGACACUGUCCAGACUCCUACGGGAGGCUGCAGUCGAGAAUCUUGGGCAAUGCACGAAGUGUGACCCAGCGACGCCGCGUGGAGGAUGAAGGCCCUC
This 384-nucleotide ribosomal RNA is filed under the name uncultured bacterium. RNAcentral describes it as "bacterial SSU rRNA". It matches the Rfam family "Bacterial small subunit ribosomal RNA", at positions 27 to 419 of the family's 1533-position model. The record is from RNAcentral.